This is a long non-coding RNA of Lagopus leucura (white-tailed ptarmigan), 100 nucleotides long. RefSeq lists it as uncharacterized. NCBI's taxonomy places the organism in Eukaryota, Metazoa, Chordata, Aves, Galliformes, Phasianidae. The record is from RefSeq and is a predicted model, not a curated record. The transcript is spliced from 3 exons.
UCUUGGAGUCUUUUCAGUGAGCCCAGAACAGGGGAUAGCAGUACCUACUCUAAAAAGCCAGUAAAUCUGAGAAGACAAAAACUUAGGAUUCUCUGCUGAG